Molecule: ribosomal RNA, 207 nt
Filed under: uncultured delta proteobacterium
Lineage: Bacteria; Deltaproteobacteria
Description: partial 16S ribosomal RNA
Rfam family: Bacterial small subunit ribosomal RNA
Source: RNAcentral
UGCGCAGUCGGUUAUUUAAGUCGGAUGUGAAAUCCCCGGGCUCAACCUGGGAAUUGCAUUCGAUACUGGAUAGCUAGAGUUCGGCAGAGGGAAGUGGAAUUUCAGGUGUAGCGGUGAAAUGCGUAGAUAUCUGAAGGAACAUCAGUGGCGAAAGCGACUUCCUGGACCAGAACUGACGAUCAGGCACGAAAGCGUGGGGAGCAAACA